Molecule: ribosomal RNA, 325 nt
Filed under: uncultured eukaryote
Lineage: Eukaryota
Description: partial 18S ribosomal RNA
Rfam family: Eukaryotic small subunit ribosomal RNA
Source: RNAcentral
CCCUUAGAUGUUCUGGGCCGCACGCGCGCUACACUGAUGCAUUCAACGAGUGUACCUUGGCCGAGAGGCCUGGGCAAUCUUUUGAACGUGCAUCGUGAUAGGGAUAGAUUAUUGCAAUUAUUAAUCUUGAACGAGGAAUUCCUAGUAAACGCAGAUCAUCAAUCUGCAUUGAUUACGUCCCUGCCCUUUGUACACACCGCCCGUCGCUCCUACCGAUUGAGUGGUCCAGUGAGGCUUUGGGAUCUGAGCGGAAAGAGCGUUUCGCUGUUUCUGCUCGGAAAACUCAGUCGAACCUUAUCAUUUAGAGGAAGGAGAAGUCGUAACA